UAGAUGCGAGAGUAGAGCAUAUCAAUAAGCGGAGGAAAAGAAACUAACAAGGAUUCCCCUUAGUAACGGCGAGUGAAGCGGGAAGAGCUCAAAUUUGAAAUCUUCAAGGUUCUACCUUGACGAAUUGUAGUUUAUAGAAGUGUUUUCUGUUAGUGGAGUGGCAAAAGUUCUUUGGAAUAGGACAUCAUAGAGGGUGAGAAUCCCGUAUUUGGUCAUUCCUCCUAGCGUUGUGAUACACUUUCAACGAGUCGGAUUGUUUGGGAAUGCAGUCCAAAAUGGGUGGUAAAUUUCAUCUAAAGCUAAAUAUUGGCGAGAGACCGAUAGCGAACAAGUACCGUGAGGGAAAGAUGAAAAGAACUUUGAAAAGAGAGUUAAACAGUACGUGAAAUUGUCAAAAGGGAAGCGUUUGACACCAGUGUUGUUUUUCCGAAAAUCAAUUACGAAUGUUUUAUUUUUGAGGAGUUAUGACUUCAUCGGCUUGCUCCUUUCUUUAUGAAACUUUCUUAAUGCACUUUUCGGUUAACAAGUCAACAUCAAUUUCUUUUGUUGUAAAAGGGUAUGAGGAAGGUGGCUUUCUUUUCGGAGAAAGUGUUUAUAGCCUUGUGCCUCUGCAAUCGGAGAGAUUGAGGUCUGCAGCGUAGAUCCUUCGGGGUUAGAUACGUUUGUGCUAAGUUAUAGCUUUUCACAGACAACUUGUUGACUAUGUUUAGUCUUGUAGCUUACUCGCUUAUGCUAUUUUACCUACGCUUAGGAUGUUGACGAGACUGUCGAUCUC
This 775-nucleotide ribosomal RNA is filed under the name uncultured Neocallimastigales. RNAcentral describes it as "partial large subunit ribosomal RNA". It matches the Rfam family "Eukaryotic large subunit ribosomal RNA", at positions 22 to 647 of the family's 3401-position model. The record is from RNAcentral. Lineage: Eukaryota; Fungi; Neocallimastigomycota; Neocallimastigomycetes; Neocallimastigales.